GAUAAAUGUAAUAAUAUAAUUGAAGCUCGAACUCUUUAGUGUUAUUAAAGACUGAAGAGCCAGAAACCAUACAAAACCGACUAUCACUGAUCUGACCUUGUAAGAUAACCUUCCAAAAAUAAUAGCACCAGAGACUACUUAUAAUUCAAAUUGAAGUACGAACGAUAAGUAGAAAUUGAUAUCGGAGCACAAACUGCUAGAUAGGUGGACAAUUUCAAUGCAGAAAUUGAAAUAACACAAUAUAUAGUUCUAUACGAGUUAAAAAGAUCUUGGAAGAUUUUUCCCCGUUAUCAAAUAAGAACCAAAGAAUUCAAAGGGCAAAGAAUCUAGAUUACACGAAGCUACCAGAAAGUUCAUUCUAACGGCAUUUGCAAUAAUAGGCUACAGAUAUGCUAAUCCAUGUUUUUAUGAAUACAAAGAAGAAAGCGAAACAGUUUGCAACAUACUUUACCAAAUCGGACGACAUCAUUUGGAAAUUCAAAACAUCUUAAUACGAGAGCAAACUUUAAAAAUCGAUAAAAUUAAACUUAUAAAUGCUUAUAAUAAUCAUUUCAUAGAUAUCAAUAGGAAUCAAUUUUAUCUAACGAUAAUAUAAUAUUACAUUAUAUUAAUCUGUUUGAAUAUAAUUUCCUAGUUAUUUCCAUUGCUUGUGGACAACAAUUCGAAGUUGGUUCAGCAGCAAGCGCUAAAGAUAGAAUGUGUGCAUUAUUUCUGCCUCACAUACUUUCAUUUUUGCAAUAUAGGAGUUGUUUGAAGGUAUGUUAAGAGCCCGAAGCAAAGAUCAUAAAUAUGCACAGCCACUUCCUUCGAAUGCCAGGUGACGUUAGGUAUGUCAGAUCUUAAAAAGGAAAGAGCAAAACACGACCGGUAAUGGUAGAAUUUAUUUGCAUAAACUACUUAGCCCAUUUAUUUACUUCAUUUGAUCGCCAUAUUUGACAUACUAUAUCAUGCUAUAUUAAAAAGGUAGAAAAUGCAGAAGAAAAUGCUGAAUUUAAGCGAUAGUCAAUCAACUAAAUACCUAGAAAUCGGCAAUCCGUUUUUUUAACGAAUCUGUUUUUCAUUAAAG
Molecule: unclassified non-coding RNA, 1066 nt
Filed under: Bombus terrestris (buff-tailed bumblebee)
Lineage: Eukaryota; Metazoa; Arthropoda; Insecta; Hymenoptera; Apidae
Description: misc RNA ENSBTSG00005028827.1
Source: RNAcentral